Long non-coding RNA from Eriocheir sinensis (Chinese mitten crab), 545 nucleotides. RefSeq lists it as uncharacterized. Lineage: Eukaryota; Metazoa; Arthropoda; Malacostraca; Decapoda; Varunidae. The record is from RefSeq and is a predicted model, not a curated record. The transcript is spliced from 3 exons.
ACCUGGUGCAGUUUGAGGGCCAGCUGGACGCCAACCACUUGAGGCUACUCCCUGAAGGCCUGAAGUGUCUGUUGUUGUCGGUGGGGGGAGACAGCCACGCACGGACCCUGCUGCCGGCCCUCACACACGUCACCGGGAUGUGCCCUCACCUACUCAGCCUGUGGCUCCACGUCCCGGUAUCUCAAGUGACCGUUGCCUGCCUCCCACCACUCUCUGAAGUUCCCUUGGUUGUAUUUCUGGUACUGUCUGGUGUUGGGGAUGCGCAGGCAGCCGUGGCCGUGGUCGCAGCCCUUUGUUCCGAGCAGUUUGGGGUUAGUUUUAUCACGUUCCCCGGUGCCACGCUGAGGGUCGACGGCUGGGAGGCAGUGCUGCGAGGCCUGAAGGAGCGCGGCGUGAGGGUGUGGGGGAGAAUUCAGGUACCAGACACCACCAUCACUGACGACGAGAAGGACCAGCUGAACACCCUCGCAGUGUCCCUGCUGAGGUGUGACUUUGAAAGGUGUGUGUGUGUGUGUGUGUGUGUGUGUGUUGCUUUCCUAUUUCUC